UCUUCUUCAACGGCCGCGGUAUCCUAACCGUGCAAAGGUAGCGCAAUCACUUGCCCCUUAAAUGAGGGCUAGUAUGAACGGUUUAAUGAGGGCCCAACUGUCUCCUGCAGCCAAUUAAUGAAAUUGAUGACUCAGUACAAACGCUGAGAUAUAAACACAAGACGAGAAGACCCUGUGGAACUUUAAACAUUCCUGCUAGCAACCACCACCACAUCUGCCACCCUAACAGUCAGUUUAAGUUGGGGCAACUACGGAGUACAGUCAAACCUCCACGAAACACAAGUAACACUUGUUAUUAAGGCCCACACGCCACCACAUCAAAGUUUGAUCCAGUAAAACUGAUUUACGGACCAAGCUACCCCAGGGAUAACAGCGCUAUCCCCUUCAAGAGUUCCUAUCGCCAAGGGGGUUUACGACCUCGAUGUUGGAUCAGGACACCCCGGUGGUGCAGCCGCUGCCAAAGGUUCGUUUGUUCAACGAGUAAUGUCCUACGUGA
Molecule: ribosomal RNA, 496 nt
Filed under: Lygodactylus sp. 7 aff. tuberosus B MV-2021
Lineage: Eukaryota; Metazoa; Chordata; Lepidosauria; Squamata; Gekkonidae
Description: partial large subunit ribosomal RNA
Rfam family: Bacterial large subunit ribosomal RNA
Source: RNAcentral